RNAcentral lists this ribosomal RNA (449 nucleotides) under uncultured bacterium. Its description in RNAcentral is "bacterial SSU rRNA". It matches the Rfam family "Bacterial small subunit ribosomal RNA", at positions 329 to 794 of the family's 1533-position model. The record is from RNAcentral.
GGCCAGACUCCUACGGGAGGCAGCAGUGGGGAAUAUUGCACAAUGGGGGGAACCCUGAUGCAGCGACGCCGCGUGGGUGAAGGAGUAUUUCGGUAUGUAAAGCCCUAUCAGCAGGGAAGAACAAUGACGGUACCUGACUAAGAAGCACCGGCUAAAUACGUGCCAGCAGCCGCGGUAAUACGUAGGGGGCAAGCGUUAUCCGGAUUUACUGGGUGUAAAGGGAGCGUAGACGGCGAUGCAAGCCAGAUGUGAAAGGCCGGGGCUCAACCCCGGGACUGCAUUUGAAACUGUCAGGCUGGAGUGCAGGAGAGGUAAGUGGAAUUCCUAGUGUAGCGGUGAAAUGCGUAGAUAUUAGGAGGAACACCAGUGGCGAAGGCGGCUUACUGGACUGUAACUGACGUUGAGGCUCGAAAGCGUGGGGAGCAAACAGGAUUAGAUACCCCAGUACU